UGGUCCGUCGCCAAGCGGUAAGGCAACAGGUUUUGAUCCUGUCAUGCGCUGGUUCGAAUCCAGCCGGACCAGCCA
Molecule: transfer RNA, 75 nt
Filed under: Reinekea forsetii
Lineage: Bacteria; Pseudomonadati; Pseudomonadota; Gammaproteobacteria; Oceanospirillales; Saccharospirillaceae
Also listed under: 1 other name
Description: tRNA-Gln
Rfam family: tRNA
About the family: Transfer RNA (tRNA) molecules are approximately 80 nucleotides in length.
Source: RNAcentral